Molecule: ribosomal RNA, 530 nt
Filed under: Enterococcus faecalis
Lineage: Bacteria; Bacillati; Bacillota; Bacilli; Lactobacillales; Enterococcaceae
Description: bacterial SSU rRNA
Rfam family: Bacterial small subunit ribosomal RNA
Source: RNAcentral
CUUUCCUCCCGAGUGCUUGCACUCAAUUGGAAAGAGGAGUGGCGGACGGGUGAGUAACACGUGGGUAACCUACCCAUCAGAGGGGGAUAACACUUGGAAACAGGUGCUAAUACCGCAUAACAGUUUAUGCCGCAUGGCAUAAGAGUGAAAGGCGCUUUCGGGUGUCGCUGAUGGAUGGACCCGCGGUGCAUUAGCUAGUUGGUGAGGUAACGGCUCACCAAGGCCACGAUGCAUAGCCGACCUGAGAGGGUGAUCGGCCACACUGGGACUGAGACACGGCCCAGACUCCUACGGGAGGCAGCAGUAGGGAAUCUUCGGCAAUGGACGAAAGUCUGACCGAGCAACGCCGCGUGAGUGAAGAAGGUUUUCGGAUCGUAAAACUCUGUUGUUAGAGAAGAACAAGGACGUUAGUAACUGAACGUCCCCUGACGGUAUCUAACCAGAAAGCCACGGCUAACUACGUGCCAGCAGCCGCGGUAAUACGUAGGUGGCAAGCGUUGUCCGGAUUUAUUGGGCGUAAAGCGAGCGCA